Cyanistes caeruleus (blue tit) is the source of this 1062-nucleotide long non-coding RNA. RefSeq lists it as uncharacterized. The record is from RefSeq and is a predicted model, not a curated record. Lineage: Eukaryota; Metazoa; Chordata; Aves; Passeriformes; Paridae.
GGCCCCGCAGCGCAGCACUGCGUGCGAUGCUGACGGGUGCAAUGGGCCCUAAAGAUCUUAGGCUCCUAUUUCAAGCUCCAUCCCACCUGCUGCUGGGGCAUACACAGCCUCCCUGUACAGCCUGGUCCAGUUCCUCACCACUCUCACAGUAAAGAAUGUCUCCCUAAUAUCUCAUGUUGCAAUGAUGUCUGGCCUAUCUCUGACAGACUGCGGGAAGAGGGAACGAGAUGGGUGGAAAAGCAGUGGAGAAUGUGGCCAAGAUGUGUUUAGAGGGGCUCCCCAAAUUCUGCUGUGUAAAGUACAUUCAGGGUGCCCAAAGCUGUCUGUCUUUAAAGAGAUUACUCAUGUGUGACAUCUCAGGGGUAGCUUUUACCCUUGCUGCAUCAGUGCAGUCCUUUCCCGUGACAGAGCCCAGCCCAGUCCCUUGCCCCAGCCCACGAGGCUGCCUCUCAUGCUGGCCACGCGUGAGCUCCACGGGAACCAGGCAGGAGGGUCUGGGCUCAGCGCUGGCAGCUGUGGUGACAAACAAAUGAAGUGCUGGCAGACAAAUGCUGGAGCUCUGUCUCUUGAAAAAUUCCAGUAAGAAGCGUCUCGCAGGGAUGUGCUGCAGCAUCACUCACCGGCUGUUUUCCUUUGCCAAAGGCACUCCAGUCUCGAAGGGCUCAGUCCUCAGGAUGCCAGUGAAUAAAUGGCUGAUGGUUAUCUCCCCCUGUUGGCUGAAGGUCAGCUUCGGUGUGUUAGGUACAUCCAGGAAAAGGGAUUUCAGGCAGCACGGAGUAGUUCUUGCUCAUGUGCAAAAUCCUUUAACCCCAAAUGUUUAGAGGUUUGUGCCCUUCCUACAUACCAGACAGAUUCUUGGAAAGCAAAUUGUGUAUAUAUUUGUUUUUAACACAAUUUGUUUGGCUUUCAAUUUAUACUGAAUAUUUUCUUUCUUUUUGCUUAUUACCGCCUGAGCUACUGAACUGUUCUGCUUACUAUUUUUUAUGUGAUUCUUUUAGAAUUAAAUCCCUUAAGGAAAUGUGUAACUGUCUAGAAAGAAAGAUGGUUUUGCAGUUUCCAGAA